Molecule: long non-coding RNA, 394 nt
Organism: Salvia miltiorrhiza (redroot sage)
Lineage: Eukaryota; Viridiplantae; Streptophyta; Magnoliopsida; Lamiales; Lamiaceae
Exons: 2
Source: RefSeq, a predicted model, not a curated record
GAACCUUCGAUGACGAUGACGAUGUGAUGAUGACAUAUGAAGGCUCGAGCGAGACGAAGAAGUAAGUUGCCUGAUUUCUUUCCAGGAUUAGCGAAGGACUUCAGGCUAAGCGAGGAGCGAGAUUGGUCUGGUGCUGGUGGGGAAUUGUUGAAGGAUGUAUUUACUUUAUCGUAUUUCUAUUUUGACGAUAAAGUCUUGAUGAUUGAUAUACUUUGAUUUUCUUUUGAAUUUAAGCAAUGUACUCACGGUUAUAUGUCUUCAUACAUAUAAUCGGUUCGCCUUUUGCUGCGAUACUCUGCAUAUUAUGAUUCCUUACGAAAAAUGAGCGAUACCCGUUUUGUUUUUGUUUGUGAAAUUCCUGAUAAUUAAAAAGUUAUAACGACAUUGACGAAUU